Molecule: ribosomal RNA, 120 nt
Organism: Amphiprion ocellaris (clown anemonefish)
Lineage: Eukaryota; Metazoa; Chordata; Actinopteri; Pomacentridae
Source: Ensembl
GCUUACGACCACGCCACCCUGUGCGUGUCCAAUCUCCUCUGAUCUCGUGAAACCAAGCAGGGUCGGGCCUGGUUAGUACUUGGAUGGGAGAUCACCUGCGAAUACCAGGUGCCGUAAGCU